RNAcentral lists this ribosomal RNA (468 nucleotides) under uncultured bacterium. Its description in RNAcentral is "partial 16S ribosomal RNA". It matches the Rfam family "Bacterial small subunit ribosomal RNA", at positions 28 to 507 of the family's 1533-position model. The record is from RNAcentral.
GACGAACGCUGGCGGCGUGCUUAACACAUGCAAGUCGAACGGAAAGGCCCUGCUUUUGUGGGGUGCUCGAGUGGCGAACGGGUGAGUAACACGUGAGUAACCUGCACUUGACUUUGGGAUAACUUCAGGAAACUGGGGCUAAUACCGGAUAGGAGCUCCUGCUGCAUGGUGGGGGUUGGAAAGUUUCGGCGGUUGGGGAUGGACUCGCGGCUUAUCAGCUUGUUGGUGGGGUAGUGGCUUACCAAGGCUGUGACGGGUAGCCGGCCUGAGAGGGUGACCGGCCACAUUGGGACUGAGAUACGGCGCAGACGCCUACGGGAGGCAGCAGGGGGGAGUAUUGCACAAUGGGCGGAAGCCUGAUGCAGCAACGCCGCGUGCGUGAUGACGGCUUUCGAGUUGUAAACCGCUUUCGCCUGUGACGAGGCGUGAUUGACGGUAAUGGGUAAAGAAGCACCGGCUAACUACGUG